Molecule: ribosomal RNA, 409 nt
Filed under: uncultured bacterium
Lineage: Bacteria
Description: bacterial SSU rRNA
Rfam family: Bacterial small subunit ribosomal RNA
Source: RNAcentral
GGGAAUAUUGCACAAUGGGCGCAAGCCUGAUGCAGCGACGCCGCGUGGGGGAUGACGGCCUUCGGGUUGUAAACUCCUUUCGCUAGGGACGAAGCGUUAUGUGACGGUACCUGGAGAAGAAGCACCGGCUAACUACGUGCCAGCAGCCGCGGUAAUACGUAGGGUGCGAGCGUUGUCCGGAAUUACUGGGCGUAAAGAGCUCGUAGGUGGUUUGUCGCGUCGUUUGUGUAAGCCCGCAGCUUAACUGCGGGACUGCAGGCGAUACGGGCAUAACUUGAGUGCUGUAGGGGAGACUGGAAUUCCUGGUGUAGCGGUGGAAUGCGCAGAUAUCAGGAGGAACACCGAUGGCGAAGGCAGGUCUCUGGGCAGUAACUGACGCUGAGGAGCGAAAGCAUGGGUAGCGAACAGG